AUAGUUUGUACAGUAAGAAAAGUUGUAACUAAGGGCUCCACGGCAAACAUGUAAAACAGUAACUAGCUUUUUAAUCGUAAAUCUUUACUUUUAAAUAUUUUUAGGCAAUCGACUGAUGUUUUUACCGUGGCAAAAUAAAGAAGCUUCCUUCCUUCCUUCCUUCCUUACCAUUGCAAGGGGUCUAUAUGAAACAUAAGUUUUUCAUGGUUAUGUUGAUGAUGAGAGGAACACCGACAAUGCAUGGAUUGAAACCAUGGUAAGGAAUUAUCAUGAAGAAACAGGCAACAUUCUGGGAGGUCAAUUUAUGAUCAAAGAAAACAAGCAAGACUUGGCUUGGCUAGUGGCAAGUUGUCAGUUGAAUUUACCAGAAAAUCAAGUCCUAUUUUUGAGGAAAGUUGCUAAACU
Molecule: long non-coding RNA, 405 nt
Organism: Actinia tenebrosa (Australian red waratah sea anemone)
Lineage: Eukaryota; Metazoa; Cnidaria; Anthozoa; Actiniaria; Actiniidae
Source: RefSeq, a predicted model, not a curated record